AGCGAGCACCCGCGGCUGCCAAAGGUUCUCUCCUAGGUAUUUGAUAAUCAGAUAAAAAUAUAAGGACAGGUGUCCGGGAAGGCAGCAGGGAAAGUAGAGUAAACGGCACAGAAAAGGAACUGAAAUUGACCUUGAUUGCCUCCAUCUCGGGCCUGGAGCGGGCCUUUCCUGCUUAUCUGGCUGAAAUGCUGAAAGAAAAAUCUCAGUUUACACAGAACCAAAUCACCAAAGAGAAUUGGAAACCCUCAUCUGUGGCGCUGCCCGCAGGGCUGCCAGGAAUAGUGCUUACCCCAGUGGCCUGAAAUAAUUCCGCAUCUUGCUCAGCAUCUCGCCCUGGGCUGGGGAUUGAUUUAGGCCACUGGGAAAACGAGGGCCCGGACUUUGCCGCUGAGCCAUAGCUGCAUUUCUCCGUUAUGGGAGCCACUGGGAUCAGCAGCUAGCAGAGAGAGACACAUUUCCAUUUAGGUGGGGGUUCUGUUUCAUAGGAGAAACAGUGUGGUUGCUAAGACAGCAUUUUAUUUUUUCUCUUAAAACUUUCUUUUUUUCUUUCCACAGAGUAUCCUUGUUCCCCGAUCAUAUUUUUUGGAACUAGCCGUAUGUGUUCCAUCCACAUAGGACCCUUUAAGGACUACGUUUUUGUUUGCAAGCAUGGGGGAAACAGUGAAUGAUUUGUACUUUUCCUACUUUGCUCUCACACAAAUGAUGAAUUUUCUGGAAUAUACGGCACAGAGAAAGUUUCUGGCGUCUGUGAAAAAAAAAAAAAUGUCUGGUCCAUCUAUGGUGGGAGGACACAGGAUCGUGGUACAUACACACCUGGGUAGAAUAUGGAAAUUUGAGGAGGAUAAAAGACAUGGCUAUUUAUCGCUUAAUCUUUUCCUCUUCCUCUCCCUAAUAAUGUCUUCCUUGGAAGGAACCUUCAUUAAAAGAGAGAAUCCACCACCAGCUAUCUGCUAUUAAGUUUCAAAUAAUCUUAACUGUAACCUGACUCUGCCAUUGACUCUCUUUAUGGAAGAAAUUUAUUUAUUGAAUGCUUGGUACCUCACCGAACAAUAUUUGGCAAAGUAACAACACAAGCCAUGCUCCCGUGUACCUGCUGCCACCACGAUGGAAUGUUUCCCCCAGUGCACUGAUGUGUUUACUGAUGCCAGGGUUCAGGUUCAAUGGUAACAGUUGGAGAAGAUGGGAAGGUGAACUAGGAAGAGGUGCCAAGAAUGAUGGAUGGCAGAGCGUAGUCAGGGUUAGUAAUGUCCUUAUUUUCCCUCUCACUCUGAACCUUUGCCCUGGAUAAGGGGGAGUUGAAUUUAGCUUUAAGAAGGGAUUAGUAAGAAGAGAAUGUGAAUGUUGGUUUGACAGGUGGGGUGGGGGAGGCCAUUAUAGCCCAGGGGCCAACAACCGCCCUGGCAGUUUCUUUUCCUCCCUUCAAGCCCAGCUAGUAGAGACUGCCCUUCCAGAAAAUCCUGUAACCAAAGCUCUGCACUCUGCAGGGUUCCCAGUGGACCUCACUCUUGCAAGAGGACAGUGAGAGUCCCGUUGAACUGCAGAUUCUGGCUGCUGCCUGGCAGUUCCGUUGACUCCUUGAGCCCCGGGAUCAGCAGAUGAGAAGAGGAAUCACCAUCCUGGCAGGAAGAGUUGACCCUGUCAAGAAAAAUAUAUUUUAAAAAAUAAGAAAGAGGAGAGGUCGAUGGGAACUGCUCCCCAACGUGUGGACAAGGCAAUGCCUGCAGUGGAAGGGGAGGCUGUGUCGGCCAUGGCUGCACCCUGCUCAGAGCUUCCGUCAAGAGAACCCGCUGAGAGGAGGGCGAGAGAUGAACAGGCUCCAGCCGCUGCACCUCUGGUCCUGGCAGGGCUUGUGCUGAGGCCACGGUCUUCCUAGACCACCUCCGGCCAGCUGCUGGGCACAGUGGGCUGAGGGAGCCGGGCCAUGCCUCCUCCGCCAGGCUGCUGUGUUCUGCGCUCCCCAUCGACUUGUCUGAAGCGUCUUCAGGGUGCACUGCGGUCUGAGGUUCCUCCACUCUCCCACCCCACCCCACCCCACCCGCUUCCUUCCUGCUUCCUUUCGCAGGUUUCAGACCUGCCUCCUGAACAAGAGGCUCACUCUCCCCACCA
Myotis daubentonii (Daubenton's bat) is the source of this 2106-nucleotide long non-coding RNA. RefSeq lists it as uncharacterized. Lineage: Eukaryota; Metazoa; Chordata; Mammalia; Chiroptera; Vespertilionidae. The record is from RefSeq and is a predicted model, not a curated record.